GGAUGUGAGGGAGAUCUGGUUGCAACAUCUGUCACCACAUUAAUCAACAGAAUGAUUUGGCUGAUCUGGCUGGCUAGGCGGGUUUCCCUUCCUCCUUCACCUCUCCUUGUACUCCACUUGGUCGAAAAUGAUAACCAUCUCCUAGUAGAGAAGGGCUGUUCUUUGGUCACAGAUAUACAAGUAGCUAUUCUCCCCCUGCUAGAACCUCCAAACAAGUUCUCAAAAAAAAAAAAAAGAUUUGGAAAAAAAAGUGAGUUUUUGAAAAUAUCAGGAUCUUC
This is an unclassified non-coding RNA of Dipodomys ordii (Ord's kangaroo rat), 278 nucleotides long. Its record names the gene 7SK. It matches the Rfam family "7SK RNA". From Rfam's summary of the family: 7SK was discovered as an abundant small nuclear RNA in the mid-70s but a possible function has only recently been suggested. Two independent studies have found that 7SK RNA binds the CDK9/cyclin T complex (known as elongation factor P-TEFb). Lineage: Eukaryota; Metazoa; Chordata; Mammalia; Rodentia; Heteromyidae. The record is from Ensembl.